This 720-nucleotide long non-coding RNA is filed under the name Salmo salar (Atlantic salmon). RNAcentral describes it as "lncRNA (ENSSSAG00000104892.1)". The record is from RNAcentral. Lineage: Eukaryota; Metazoa; Chordata; Actinopteri; Salmoniformes; Salmonidae.
CCCCGUCUCUCCCUUUCCAAUGGAUGCAAUAGCGCUAUGUGUCCACCAGAUGGAGGUAUUGGAACAAAAUUAACAUCCAUCUGGUGGCCACAUAGCGCUAUUGCAUCCAUUGGCUUUAUCACUGACACUGUCAGCCAAUCCAAAGACAUCUCUCUCCCUCUCUGUCAUAUUUUUCUCUGCAACAACUGUUUAACUUUCCCUCUCCCUUUUUUCUUUCUCUCUCUCCUUUUCCCUCUCUCCCUCUCCUCUCUCUGCCUUUCCCUUUCUCUUGCUCUCUAUUUUUCUUUCUCUCCCCCUCCUUUUCCCUCGCUCACUCUCGCUCUCUCCCUUUUUUUCUCUCUCCUUUUCCCUCUCUCCCUCUUCUCUCUGCCUUUCCCUUUCUCUUGCUCUCUAUUUUUCUUUAUCUCCCCCUCAUUUUCUCUCUCCCUUUCCCUCUCGCUCUCCCUCGCCCUAUCUCUCUCCCUCUCUCGGUCUCCCUCUCUCCCCCUUUCCCUCGAUCUCUCCUUUUCCUCUCUCACUUUUUUCUCACUCCUUCUCUCUCCCUUUCCCUCUUUCCCUUUCUCUCGCUCUCUCCCUUCCCCUCGAUCUUCUUCCCCUCUCCCCAUCCCCUCUCUCCCGCUCUUUUCUCUCUCUCCCCCUUUCCCUCUCCUCUCUCUACUUUCUCUCGCCCUCGCUCUCUUUCUCUCUCUCCCCCUUUCCCUCUUUCUCCUCUCGCCUUUC